AAAAGACGGAGACAAGGAGGAGAGAAAGAAAUAAGGGGAAGAAGAGAAAAGGAAAAGAGAAGAAGCAAGUAGACACAUGCAUCUUCUGCACUACAUUUCCCCUCUUAUUCCUGUUUGACUUCUCUAA
This 127-nucleotide non-coding RNA is filed under the name Heterosigma akashiwo. The record is from RNAcentral. Lineage: Eukaryota; Raphidophyceae; Chattonellales; Chattonellaceae.